UGGGGAAUAUUGCACAAUGGGCGAAAGCCUGAUGCAGCAACGCCGCGUGAGUGAUGAAGGUCUUCGGAUUGUAAAGCUCUGUCUUUUGGGACGAUAAUGACGGUACCAAAGGAGGAAGCCACGGCUAACUACGUGCCAGCAGCCGCGGUAAUACGUAGGUGGCGAGCGUUGUCCGGAUUUACUGGGCGUAAAGGGUGCGUAGGCGGAUGUUUAAGUGAGAUGUGAAAUACCCGGGCUUAACUUGGGUGCUGCAUUUCAAACUGGAUAUCUAGAGUGCAGGAGAGGAGAAUGGAAUUCCUAGUGUAGCGGUGAAAUGCGUAGAGAUUAGGAAGAACACCAGUGGCGAAGGCGAUUCUCUGGACUGUAACUGACGCUGAGGCACGAAAGCGUGGGUAGCGAACAGGAUUAGAUACCCUGGUAG
Molecule: ribosomal RNA, 421 nt
Filed under: uncultured bacterium
Lineage: Bacteria
Description: partial 16S ribosomal RNA
Rfam family: Bacterial small subunit ribosomal RNA
Source: RNAcentral